UACGGGAGGCAGCAGUGGGGAAUAUUGCACAAUGGGCGAAAGCCUGAUGCAGCUAUGCCGCGUGUAUGAAGAAGGCCUUAGGGUUGUAAAGUACUUUCAUCGGGGAGGAAAAAACAAAACUAAUAAUUUUAUUUCUUGACGUUACCCGAAAAAGAAGCACCGGCUAACUCCGUGCCAGCAGCCGCGGUAAUACGGAGGGUGCUAGCGUUAAUCAGAAUUACUGGGCGUAAAGAGCACGUAGGUGGUUUUUUUAAGUCAGAUGUGAAAUCCCUGGGCUUAACCUAGGAACUACAUUUUGAAACUGAAAUACUAGAGUAUCGUAGAGGGAGGUAGAAUUCUAGGUGUAGCGGUGAAAUGCGUAGAUAUCUGGAGGAAUACCUGUGGCGAAAGCGGCCUCCUAAACGAAUACUGACACUGAGGGUGCGAAAGCGUGGGGAGCAAACAGGGAUUAGAUACC
RNAcentral lists this ribosomal RNA (457 nucleotides) under uncultured bacterium. RNAcentral's name for it is "bacterial SSU rRNA". It matches the Rfam family "Bacterial small subunit ribosomal RNA", at positions 340 to 786 of the family's 1533-position model. The record is from RNAcentral.